CUGGCGGCGUGCCUAACACAUGCAAGUCGAGCGGGGACAUGCGACGGAGUCAAAGUUUCGGAUGGAGACGAAGAUGUAUGUUCUAGCGGCGGACGGGUGAGUAACGCGUGAGCAACCUGUCCCUUACAGGGGGAUAACACAGCGAAAGUUGUACUAAUACCGCAUAAGACCACAGCAGGACAUCCUGCGGGGGUCAAAGGAGCAAUCCGGUAAGGGGUGGGCUCGCGUCCGAUUAGAUAGUUGGUGAGGUAACGGCCCACCAAGUCGACGAUCGGUAGCCGACCUGAGAGGGUGAUCGGCCACAUUGGGACUGAGACACGGCCCAAACUCCUACGGGAGGCAGCAGUGGGGAAUAUUGGGCAAUGGGGGAAACCCUGACCCAGCAACGCCGCGUGAGGGAAGAAGGUUUUCGGAUCGUAAACCUCUGUCCUUGGUGAAGAGUUUGAGACGGUAGCCAAGGAGGAAGCCCCGGCUAACUACGUGCCAGCAGCAGC
This 494-nucleotide ribosomal RNA is filed under the name uncultured bacterium. RNAcentral's name for it is "bacterial SSU rRNA". It matches the Rfam family "Bacterial small subunit ribosomal RNA", at positions 36 to 518 of the family's 1533-position model. The record is from RNAcentral.